Molecule: microRNA precursor, 82 nt
Organism: Homo sapiens (human)
Lineage: Eukaryota; Metazoa; Chordata; Mammalia; Primates; Hominidae
Rfam family: mir-2861 microRNA precursor family
Source: Rfam
CGCCUCUGCAGCUCCGGCUCCCCCUGGCCUCUCGGGAACUACAAGUCCCAGGGGGCCUGGCGGUGGGCGGCGGGCGGAAGAG